Molecule: ribosomal RNA, 500 nt
Filed under: uncultured bacterium
Lineage: Bacteria
Description: bacterial SSU rRNA
Rfam family: Bacterial small subunit ribosomal RNA
Source: RNAcentral
AGUUUGAUCAUGGCUCAGAUUGAACGCUGGCGGCAUGCCUUACACAUGCAAGUCGAACGGUAACAGGCCGCAAGGUGCUGACGAGUGGCGAACGGGUGAGUAACACAUCGGAACGUGCCUGAUAGUGGGGGAUAACUACUCGAAAGAGUAGCUAAUACCGCAUAAGAUCUCAGGAUGAAAGCAGGGGACCGCAAGGCCUUGCGCUAACAGAGCGGCCGAUGGCAGAUUAGGUAGUUGGUGGGAUAAAAGCUUACCGAGCCGACGAUCUGUAGCUGGUCUGAGAGGACGACCAGCCACACUGGGACUGAGACACGGCCCAGACUCCUACGGGAGGCAGCAGUGGGGAAUUUUGGACAAUGGGCGCAAGCCUGAUCCAGCAAUGCCGCGUGCAGGAUGAAGGCCUUCGGGUUGUAAACUGCUUUUGUACGGAACGAAAAAGCUCUGGUUAAUACCUGGGGCCCAUGACGGUACCGUAAGAAUAAGCACCGGCUAACUACGUG